This 221-nucleotide unclassified non-coding RNA is filed under the name Hevea brasiliensis (rubber tree). Lineage: Eukaryota; Viridiplantae; Streptophyta; Magnoliopsida; Malpighiales; Euphorbiaceae. The record is from RNAcentral.
GACUAAAGAAAUCUUCAUAUUGUGGGGAUAUUAUUAGUGCAAGGGAACCGCAAGAUAUAAUAUAUUUCAAGCUCACAGACCAUGCAAAGCCUUCAGCAUAGAUUUUGUACCUGUACUGAUCUGAUAGUUUGGAGCCCUCAAAACCAGCUUUUGCUUCUUCUCCCCAAUCCUGUCGCAAAAUGUGUGCCCCCCACUUCCUAGAGUGGUUGCAUUGCAAUAAC